This 326-nucleotide ribosomal RNA is filed under the name uncultured eukaryote. RNAcentral's name for it is "partial 18S ribosomal RNA". It matches the Rfam family "Eukaryotic small subunit ribosomal RNA", at positions 1470 to 1796 of the family's 1831-position model. The record is from RNAcentral.
CCCUUAGAUGUUCUGGGCUGCACGCGCGCUACACUGAUGCACUCAACGAGUUUACGACCUUGCCCGAUAGGGUUGGGUAAUCUUUUUAAAAUGCAUCGUGAUGGGGAUAGAUUAUUGCAAUUAUUAAUCUUCAACGAGGAAUUCCUAGUAAGCGCGGGUCAUCAGCUCGUGCUGAUUACGUCCCUGCCCUUUGUACACACCGCCCGUCGCUCCUACCGAUUGAGUGCUCAGGUGAAUAAUUCGGACUGCAGCAAUGUUUGGAUCCCGAACGUUGCAGCGGAAAGUUUAGUGAACCUUAUCACUUAGAGGAAGGAGAAGUCGUAACA